Molecule: ribosomal RNA, 488 nt
Filed under: uncultured bacterium
Lineage: Bacteria
Description: bacterial SSU rRNA
Rfam family: Bacterial small subunit ribosomal RNA
Source: RNAcentral
UGAACGCUAGCGGCAGGCUUAACACAUGCAAGUCGAAGGGCAGCAUAAUGAAGUAGCAAUACGGAAUUGAUGGCGACCGGCGCACGGGUGAGUAACACGUAUGCAACCUGCCCUUGUCAGGGGGAUAAGCGGGGGAAACCCCGUCUAAUACCGCAUAUAUGGUUUGGAGGCAUCUUUAAAUCAGGAAAGAAUUAUCGGCAAUGGAUGGGCAUGCGGCGCAUUAGCUAGUUGGCGGGGUAACGGCCCACCAAGGCGACGAUGCGUAGGGGUUCUGAGAGGAAGGUCCCCCACACUGGUACUGAGACACGGACCAGACUCCUACGGGAGGCAGCAGUGAGGAAUAUUGGUCAAUGGGCGAGAGCCUGAACCAGCCAAGUCGCGUGAGGGAUGACGGUCCUAUGGAUUGUAAACCUCUUUUGUCGGGGAGCAAGGGCUCUACGUGUAGAGUGGUGAGAGUACCCGAAGAAAAAGCAUCGGCUAACUCCGUG